GACGAACGCUGGCGGCGUGCCUAAUGCAUGCAAGUCGAGCGAGCUACAGUCUUCGGACUGUAGCUUAGCGGCGAACGGGUGAGUAACACGUAGGUGAUCUACCCUUCAGAGGAGGACAACCUCAGGAAACUGAGGCUAAACCUUCAUACGUUCACUGGUAGGGAUACUGGUGAAGAAAGAGUUACCGUCAAGGUAGCUGCUGAAGGAUGAGCCUGCGGCCCAUCAGGUAGUUGGUGUGGUAACGGCUCACCAAGCCGAAGACGGGUAACCGGUCUGAGAGGAUGUCCGGUCACACUGGGACUGAGACACGGCCCAGACUCCUACGGGAGGCAGCAGCAGGGAAUCUUGGGCAAUGGGCGAAAGCCUGACCCAGCGACGCCGCGUGGAGGAAGAAGUCCUUCGGGGCGUAAACUCCUGGACUGGGGGACGAGGAAGGACGGUACCCCAGUAGAAAGGGACGGCUAACUACGUGCCAGCAGCCGCGGUAAAACGUAGGUCCCGAGCGUUGUUCGGAUUCACUGGGUGUAAAGGGCGCGUUGGUGGUUGUCUGUGUCUCAUGUGAAAACUCAGGGCUCAACUCUGAGAUUGCGUGGGAAACUAGGCAGCUAGAGGACGGUAGAGGGG
Molecule: ribosomal RNA, 624 nt
Filed under: Coprothermobacter sp. enrichment culture clone B1-B-62
Lineage: Bacteria; Pseudomonadati; Coprothermobacterota; Coprothermobacteria; Coprothermobacterales; Coprothermobacteraceae
Description: bacterial SSU rRNA
Rfam family: Bacterial small subunit ribosomal RNA
Source: RNAcentral